GAUUAACGCUGGCGGCGUGCCUAAAACAUGCAAGUCGAACGGGAGCCACCCGGGAGCAAUCCUGGAUGUCUCUAGUGGCGGACGGGUGAGUAACACGUGGGUAACCUGCCUGAAAGUGGGGAAUAACUGCGAGAAAUCGUGGCUAAUACCGCAUGUGGAGCCUGAGGACAUCCUUGGCCUCUAAAGAUUUAUCGCUUUCAGAUGGGCCCGCGGCCUAUUAGCUUGUUGGUGAGGUAACGGCCCACCAAGGCUUUGAUGGGUAGCUGGUCUGAGAGGA
This 277-nucleotide ribosomal RNA is filed under the name uncultured bacterium. RNAcentral describes it as "partial 16S ribosomal RNA". It matches the Rfam family "Bacterial small subunit ribosomal RNA", at positions 28 to 300 of the family's 1533-position model. The record is from RNAcentral.